This 581-nucleotide long non-coding RNA is filed under the name Gossypium barbadense (sea-island cotton). Its description in RNAcentral is "long non-coding RNA (GBAR_LNC013023)". Lineage: Eukaryota; Viridiplantae; Streptophyta; Magnoliopsida; Malvales; Malvaceae. The record is from RNAcentral.
AACUUUGAAAUUCUCUCCCUCUCUCAGUCUCCGACCUAGCUCCGGUCGUCGGACCACCGCCGUCGCCGUCGCGCCGGCCACCGUACACGGUGGCCAGAAAUCGCCCCUAGGUAAAUUUUUUCUUCUUUUUUUUUAAUUUUUUAUUUGUUUUACUUAUUUAAUAUAUGUACAUUGUUUUAUUAAAGAUGGGGAUAAUAUAUGUAAAUAAAUUCGAAAAGAAAAAAAAUAAAAUAGACCUUAGAUUUGCUGUUUUCGGUUCUCCGGUCUCUGAUAUGGGGCUAUUCCCUGCUUUUGAUGUUGCUAAAGUCUCUGUUUUUACUUGAAAUCGAAUGUUGUUCGCUUUUAUUUUUUUUUAAAAAUGUCGAAUGUUUCAAUGGUUUUUGGAUUUGGCCUUUAAAUAGCCAUUACAUUUCCCUUUUUUAAUAUCUGUCUAUUCUCCUUUUUUUAAUGUUGUAGACGCAAGUGGGGCGGUGGCACAGUGGCGGUGCUUGCAGACGUCGGUGGUGGAUGGGGUGGGGAGCAGGUGCUGAACGGCUAGGGUUUCCUUAGCUCUUUUCUUUUGUUGUGUGUGUGGGCAUGGG